Molecule: transfer RNA, 90 nt
Filed under: bacterium
Lineage: Bacteria
Also listed under: 1 other name
Description: tRNA-Ser
Rfam family: tRNA
About the family: Transfer RNA (tRNA) molecules are approximately 80 nucleotides in length. Their secondary structure includes four short double-helical elements and three loops (D, anti-codon, and T loops).
Source: RNAcentral
GGUGAGGUGGAUGAGAGGCUGAAAUCAGCUCGCUGCUAAUGAGUCAGCCGGGAAACCGGCUCGCGGGUUCGAAUCCCGCCCUCACCGCCA